This 550-nucleotide ribosomal RNA is filed under the name uncultured bacterium. RNAcentral's name for it is "bacterial SSU rRNA". It matches the Rfam family "Bacterial small subunit ribosomal RNA", at positions 355 to 896 of the family's 1533-position model. The record is from RNAcentral.
UAGGGAAUCUUCCGCAAUGGGCGAAAGCCUGACGGAGCAACGCCGCGUGAGUGAUGAAGGUCUUCGGAUCGUAAAACUCUGUUAUCAGGGAAGAACAAAUGUGUAAGUAACUGUGCACAUCUUGACGGUACCUGAUCAGAAAGCCACGGCUAACUACGUGCCAGCAGCCGCGGUAAUACGUAGGUGGCAAGCGUUAUCCGGAAUUAUUGGGCGUAAAGCGCGCGUAGGCGGUUUUUUAAGUCUGAUAUGAAAGCCCACGGCUCAACCGUGGAGGGUCAUUGGAAACUGGAAAACUUGAGUGCAGAAGAGGAAAGUGGAACUCCAUGUGUAGCGGUGAAAUGCGCAGAGAUAUGGAGGAACACCAGUGGCGAAGGCGACUUUCUGGUCUGUAACUGACGCUGAUGUGCGAAAGCGUGGGGAUCAAACAGGAUUAGAUACCCUGGUAGUCCACGCCGUAAACGAUGAGUGCUAAGUGUUAGGGGGUUUCCGCCCCUUAGUGCUGCAGCUAACGCAUUAAGCACUCCGCCUGGGGAGUACGACCGCAAGGUUG